GCGGGAACGGAGGCGGCCCGAACAGAAGGGGGAAGGUUCCCCCCCGGCGCCCCCUCCGGGGGCCGCCCCCUCCGGGGGAGGGCGCGGCGGCGGUCCUCUCCCUCGGCCCCGGGAUUCGGCGACGAUCCGGGCCCGGCGGCUAUAACACCCGGCGGCCGCUCGCGCGGCGCCGGGCCACCUGCCCGCCGGCAGCCCUUCCCAGCCGUCCCGGAGCCGG
This 217-nucleotide long non-coding RNA is filed under the name Gallus gallus (chicken). Lineage: Eukaryota; Metazoa; Chordata; Aves; Galliformes; Phasianidae. The record is from RNAcentral.